GAUGAACGCUGGCGGCGUGCCUAAUACAUGCAAGUCGAGCGAAUGGAUUAAGAGCUUGCUCUUAUGAAGUUAGCGGCGGACGGGUGAGUAACACGUGGGUAACCUGCCCAUAAGACUGGGAUAACUCCGGGAAACCGGGGCUAAUACCGGAUAACAUUUUGAACCGCAUGGUUCGAAAUUGAAAGGCGGCUUCGGCUGUCACUUAUGGAUGGACCCGCGUCGCAUUAGCUAGUUGGGGAGGUAACGGCUCACCAAGGCAACGAUGCGUAGCCGACCGGGGAGGGUGAUCGGCCACACUGGGACUGAGACACGGCCCAGACUCCUACGGGAGGCAGCAGUAGGGAAUCGUCCGCAAUGGACGAAAGUCUGACGGAGCAACGCCGCGUGAGUGAUGAGGGCUUUCGGGUCGUAAAACUCUGUUGUUAGGGAAGAACAAGUGCUAGUUGAAUAAGCUGGCACCUUGACGGUACCUAACCAGAAAGCCACGGCUAACUACGUGCCAGCCGCCGCAGUAA
Molecule: ribosomal RNA, 515 nt
Filed under: uncultured bacterium
Lineage: Bacteria
Description: partial 16S ribosomal RNA
Rfam family: Bacterial small subunit ribosomal RNA
Source: RNAcentral